UUGCUCUCAUAGUAUAUUAUUUCUCAGAUUGCCCUCAUAGAUACUCUGCAACUGACCAGCUUGCUCUUACUGUAGCUGACUUGAUUGUACAGGCAUAUUCUGGACUCAGUGGACAAUUUCAUGUGAGUGAAUCUGUCUGCAAAUUUCACCAUCAAGGAGAGGGACAACACGAGUUUCUAACCCAAGAACUCUGCAAACAGGCGUGCAAUCUGGAAGAAAGAAGUGCUUCAGUGUUGCAAUGGAUGGACCAGAGGAGUUAUUGCUGUGUGAGGAGUCAGAUUCUGGCCAAGAAGCUACAUGUGAAUCAUAUAUGCACUGAUUCACUGGAAUAUUUAACCUGUGUUCUUAUCAAAAAUUUUAUAGGAUGUAGUCCGUGGUUUCCAGGAUAAACGGAGUCC
Molecule: long non-coding RNA, 398 nt
Filed under: Cavia porcellus (domestic guinea pig)
Lineage: Eukaryota; Metazoa; Chordata; Mammalia; Rodentia; Caviidae
Description: lncRNA (ENSCPOG00000030703.1)
Source: RNAcentral